CCUACGGGAGGCAGCAGUGAGGAAUAUUGGUCAAUGGGAGAGAUCCUGAACCAGCCAAGCCGCGUGAGGGAAGACGGCCCUAUGGGUUGUAAACCUCUUUUGUCGGAGAACAAAACCCGAGACGUGUCCCGGACUGCGUGUAUCCGAAGAAAAAGCAUCGGCUAACUCCGUGCCAGCAGCCGCGGUAAUACGGAGGAUGCGAGCGUUAUCCGGAUUUAUUGGGUUUAAAGGGUGCGUAGGUGGUUAAUUAAGUCUGAUGUGAAAGCCCACGGCUUAACCGUGGAGGGUCAUUGGAAACUGGUUGA
RNAcentral lists this ribosomal RNA (305 nucleotides) under uncultured bacterium. RNAcentral's name for it is "bacterial SSU rRNA". It matches the Rfam family "Bacterial small subunit ribosomal RNA", at positions 338 to 640 of the family's 1533-position model. The record is from RNAcentral.